This 584-nucleotide ribosomal RNA is filed under the name Meloidogyne incognita (southern root-knot nematode). RNAcentral describes it as "eukaryotic LSU rRNA". The stretch from base 246 to 399 matches the Rfam family "5.8S ribosomal RNA". The record is from RNAcentral. Lineage: Eukaryota; Metazoa; Nematoda; Chromadorea; Rhabditida; Meloidogynidae.
CGUAGGUGAACCUGCGGAAGGAUCAUUACUUUAUGUGAUGUUCAAAUUUGAAUUCGCAAUGAAAUGAUCGUUGUGAAACGGCUGUCGCUGGUGUCUAGGUGUUGCUGAUACAGUUGUUAACAUCCGUGGCUGUAUAUGUGGUGACAUGUUAGGACUCUUUAAUGAGUUUAAGACUUAAUGAGCCUCUUAAGUGAGGACGCCAGCACUCUUUUUUUCUCUAUAUUUUUUAAAAAAACGAAAAUUUCUAGCCUUAUCGGUGGAUCACUCGGCACGUGGAUCGAUGAAGAACGCAGCAAACUGCGAUAAUUUGUGCGAACUGCAGAAACCUUGAGCACAAAAGUUUUGAACGCAUAUUGCAGCAUUGGGGUCAAACCCUUUGCUACGUCUGGUUCAGGGUCAUUUUCUUUUAAAGCGAAAGCUUUAAUUUAUAUAUGCUAUUGAUGCUUUAUAUUUUAAGAGGUUUGUUGUUUGUCAUAAUUUUAUAAAUAUAACUACAAAAAUCAAGCAACUUUGACCUGAACUCAGUCGAGAGCACCCGCUGAACUUAAGCAUAUCAGUAAGCGGAGGAAAAGAAACUAACCAGG